GCUCAAUGCAGCCAACGCCAAGACUCUGUGGAGGACCACAAUCUAGGAUCCUUCCGCUGCUGGACAUUUGGGGGGGGGGGGCAGCAAUGGUGGAGAUGUCCCUCAAAAUAAGGGGAGGGGUGUCACCCCAGGGGGCCACAUGAGCGGCAAGGAUGGGAGGUAAAAUUGUGUAAAGACCCUGUAACAAAGCAUUGAAUGUAUGCAUAGUCUC
This is a long non-coding RNA of Amblyraja radiata (thorny skate), 211 nucleotides long. RefSeq lists it as uncharacterized. NCBI's taxonomy places the organism in Eukaryota, Metazoa, Chordata, Chondrichthyes, Rajiformes, Rajidae. The record is from RefSeq and is a predicted model, not a curated record. The transcript has 3 exons.